RNAcentral lists this ribosomal RNA (596 nucleotides) under Dasyhelea sp. 1 SRM-2010. RNAcentral describes it as "eukaryotic LSU rRNA". It matches the Rfam family "Eukaryotic large subunit ribosomal RNA", at positions 454 to 900 of the family's 3401-position model. The record is from RNAcentral. Lineage: Eukaryota; Metazoa; Arthropoda; Insecta; Diptera; Ceratopogonidae.
UUCAAUAUCGUUGCGGCCAGCAAUUGGUCGUAGCGGUGUGCACUUUUCCCUUAGUAAGACGUUGCGAUCCGUUAGAAAACCACGUGUGUUCUGUACACAGGUGCCUGGGCAGGAGUUUAUACUUUUUGCGUGUAGCAUAAAUUUGUUUUUAUGCGAAUGCGUAUAAACUGCCUGGUAUCCUUACAGAUAUCUGACGGCAUUUUGAGUUAAAUGCUACACCCGAUGCCACGGCAUCGUUGCGCUCCGGCGCAAAGUGUGUGCAUCAUCAGCAACGUUUUAGAUUUAGGAUACCAUCAGGACCCGUCUUGAAACACGGACCAAGGAGUCUAACUUAUAUGCGAGUCAAUGAGAUUAUUGAAACUCAUAGGCGUAAUUAACAUGACUUGUUACCAAUGGGAUUACRAACAACAUCUCUCAUGUUGUUUUUCCAUCCCCGGGUGUCUUGCCUAUACGUAUUCAUUCCUCGUGUUUGUUUACUAUAAAGACAUACCGUGAGCAUAUAGGCUGUGACCCGAAAGAUGGUGAACUAUGCCUGAUCAGGUUGAAGUCAGGGGAAACCCUGAUGGAAGACCGUAGCAAUUCUGACGUGCAAAUCG